ACUUCGGUAACUUAUUAAACAACUCGGUUGUUCAAUUAGUUAUAUUCUCAUCUUUUUUAGAUGAAAAAAAGAUUAAUCGCCGACUUGAGUUUUUUACGGAGAUCAGGUAAUUAACAUUUUUUGUUAAGCCGACGACCUCUAGCUGGUCCGAGAGGCGGAUUAGCCACAUUAGGACUGAAAACGGUCUAAACUUCGUUUGAAGGCAGCAGUGAGGAAUAUUGGACAAUGGGCGAAAGCUUGAUCCAGCAAUGUCGCGUGGGUGAUGACGGCCUUAGGUUGUAAAGCCCUUUCGUUAGUUAUAAUUUUUUGAUAUAGCUGAAAAAGAAGUCCCGGCUAACUUCGUGCCAGCAGCUGCGGUAAAACGGGGGGGGCAAGCGUUAUUCGUCUUUACUGGGCGUAAAGGGUUAGUAGGCAGUUUGUUAUAAUUGGCAGGACAUUUCGCAAUUUAUUUGCAUUUUUUGCCUUUUUAAGAGCACACUUGAGUUUGGCUGAAGAUAUCGGUACUUUUGAUGGAGAGGUGAAAUUCGUCGAAAUCAAUGGGGGACCACCGUGCGCGGAGGCUGGUGUCUAAGUUUUAAACUGACGCUGAGGUACGAAAGCGUGGGUAGCAAACGGGAUUAGAGACCCCGGUAGUCCACGCCCUAAACGAUAGACCCUAAAUUUAAUUUAAGCGAAAGCGCAAAGGGUCUCGCCUG
This 695-nucleotide ribosomal RNA is filed under the name uncultured bacterium. RNAcentral's name for it is "partial 16S ribosomal RNA". It matches the Rfam family "Bacterial small subunit ribosomal RNA", at positions 130 to 875 of the family's 1533-position model. The record is from RNAcentral.